AUUGAACGCUGGCGGCAGGCCUAACACAUGCAAGUCGAGCGGAUGAAGGGGGCUUGCUCCUGGAUUCAGCGGCGGACGGGUGAGUAAUGCCUAGGAAUCUGCCCGGCAGUGGGGGAUAACGUCCGGAAACGGGCGCUAAUCUCGCAUACGUUAAGAGGGAGAAAGUGGGGGAUCUUCGGAGCUCAAGCUAUCUGCUGAGCCUAGGUCGGAUUAGCUAGUUGGUGGGGUAAAGGCCUACCAAGGCGACGAUCCGUAACUGGUCUGAGAGGAUGAUCAGUCACACUGGAACUGAGACACGGUCCAGACUCCUACGGGAGGCAGCAGUGGGGAAUAUUGGACAAUGGGCGAAAGCCUGAUCCAGCCAUGCCGCGUGUGUGAAGAAGGUCUUCGGAUUGUAAAGCACUUUAAGUUGGGAGGAAGGGCAGUAAGUUAAUACCUUGCUGUUUUGACGUUACCAACAGAAUAAGCACCGGCUAACUUCGUG
Molecule: ribosomal RNA, 484 nt
Filed under: uncultured bacterium
Lineage: Bacteria
Description: partial 16S ribosomal RNA
Rfam family: Bacterial small subunit ribosomal RNA
Source: RNAcentral